AUGUUUGGAUGCAAAUUUCUUUUUUUUUUUUUUUUGACAGAGUGGAUAGUGAGAGAGAGAGAGAGAAAGGUCUUCCUUUGCCGUUGGUUCACCCUCCAAUGGCCGCCACGGCUGGCGCGCAGUGGCCGGCGCACCGCGCUGAUCCGAUGGCAGGAGCCAGGUGCUUCUCCUGGUCUCCCAUGGGGUGCAGGGCCCAAGCACUUGGGCCAUCCUCCACUGCACUCCCUGGCCACAGCAGAGAGCUGGCCUGGAAGAGGGGCAACCGGGACAGAAUCCGUUGCCCCGACUGGGACUAGAACCCGGUGUGCCAGUGCCACUAGGUGGAGGAUUAGCCUAGUGAGCCGCGGCGCCAGAUGCAAAUUUCCAUGUUCUUUCAGCAGUGCCACGACUGCUCAGCGACUGGUAUUCACCACAAGAACUAGCUACCUGGGGCUGAAGUCCAAAGUAGCAGUGAGUUAUAUUGUUUUGUUAUUCCUUGGUUCAACUUUUAUUAAGAUUUACUUACUUGAAAAGCAGAGUGACAGAGAAGGAGGGAGGGAGGGAACGAAGGAGAGAGAGAGGGAGGAAGGGAACGAAGGAGAGAGAGAAGGAGGGAGGGAGAGAGAGAGAGAAUCUUUCAUCUGCUGGUUCACUCCCCAAAUGGCCAAAGCCAGGAGCCCAGAACUGCAUCUGGGUCUCCCACGUGGGUGGCAGGGAAGCAGGGAACUAAGUACUUGCGCCGUCUCCUACUGCUUUCCCAGGUGCACUGUCAGGGAGCUGGGUGGGAGGCACAGUAGCUGGGACUCACACUGGCACUCUGAUAUGGGAUGCCGCUGUCCCAGGUGCUGGCUUAACCCACUGUGCCACAGUGCUGCCCCCAGUUGGUUCCACUUUUUUAAAUGCCUGCUAUUCCUUGUCUUUAUUUUCCUGCCUAUGAGAUCUUACCCACUCUGUGAUGUGCCAGCGAUUAGAGGUGGAGGUGAGGGAGAAUGGAGAGAGUGGCCACAGGAUGGCAGAACUUGA
Molecule: long non-coding RNA, 1002 nt
Filed under: Oryctolagus cuniculus (rabbit)
Lineage: Eukaryota; Metazoa; Chordata; Mammalia; Lagomorpha; Leporidae
Description: lncRNA (ENSOCUG00000039069.1)
Source: RNAcentral